AUGCACUCUGAAGAAGAUGCAGCAGGCAACAAAGCGGCGGUCGAUGGAUUUCGACGAGAACUAUGGACAAAGCGGCGGUGCCUCCUCAGAAGCUUGUGCAAAUCCAACGCCGUCUUGGAGCCGCCACAAGUCGCCAUGGUUGGGUCCCACACGCUCACCGUGUGCAGCGUCUCCAAGCUCAGCGCGACGCUGAGGAACGGGGAGUGCAUCUACUCCACGCACUUCGCUGUUGGCGGGAGCACAUGGUACCUCAAAUUCUGCCCAAGAUGGCUCCAAUCCGGCAUCCUGUGGCUCGUCUUCGCAAGCAAGGGGGACGAGAUGACACCAACGACGGCGGAGUUCAGCUUCGAGUUCGAGGGGCUGGUGAACUUAGAGUCCCAGAAGACGAGGCACACGUUUGACCGUGACAAUGAUGACUUCUUCUACCAUCUGAAGUACACGGGAACAUCGCCCAUGCAGGACGACCGCCUCGUUGUUCGGUGCUGCCUUGCCGUUGUCACGCCGGAGGAGGUUCGGACCACCAUCCCAACGUGCAGCACCGCAUCAGUGCUAACUCCCCUGCUCAGCGCCAUGCAUGGGUUACAGAAGGCAGGCACUCAUUUGUAA
RNAcentral lists this ribosomal RNA (606 nucleotides) under Triticum aestivum (bread wheat). RNAcentral describes it as "partial small subunit ribosomal RNA". The record is from RNAcentral. Lineage: Eukaryota; Viridiplantae; Streptophyta; Magnoliopsida; Poales; Poaceae.